GGAGAGGUCGCAUAGUGGCUUAGUGCGCAUGCUUGGAAAGCGUGUAAACCUGCAAGGGUUUCGGGGGUUCGAAUCCCCCCCUCUCCGCCA
RNAcentral lists this transfer RNA (90 nucleotides) under Candidatus Peribacteraceae bacterium. RNAcentral describes it as "tRNA-Ser". It matches the Rfam family "tRNA". Rfam says of the family: Transfer RNA (tRNA) molecules are approximately 80 nucleotides in length. Their secondary structure includes four short double-helical elements and three loops (D, anti-codon, and T loops). Further hydrogen bonds mediate the characteristic L-shaped molecular structure. tRNAs have two regions of fundamental functional importance: the anti-codon, which is responsible for specific mRNA codon recognition, and the 3' end, to which the tRNAs corresponding amino acid is attached (by aminoacyl-tRNA synthetases). tRNAs cope with the degeneracy of the genetic code in two manners: having more than one tRNA (with a specific anti-codon) for a particular amino acid; and 'wobble' base-pairing, i.e. permitting non-standard base-pairing at the 3rd anti-codon position. The record is from RNAcentral. Lineage: Bacteria; Candidatus Peregrinibacteriota; Candidatus Peribacteria; Candidatus Peribacterales.